Molecule: ribosomal RNA, 300 nt
Filed under: uncultured bacterium
Lineage: Bacteria
Description: bacterial SSU rRNA
Rfam family: Bacterial small subunit ribosomal RNA
Source: RNAcentral
UGCAAGUACGGGACUGCGGGCGCGGUGAUACGUACCGUCCAAGCGUUAGUCGGAAUGAGUGGGCUUAAAGGGUGCGUAUGCGGCGCUGUCAGUCGGGGGUGAAAUGCGAGGGCUCAGCCCUGGACCUGCGCCCGGUACUGCAGUGCUCGAGGGAGACAGAGGUAAGCGGAACUGAUGGUGGAGCGGUGAAAUGCGUUGAUAUCAUCAGGAACACCAGUGGCGAAAGCGGCUUACUGGGUCUCUUCUGACGCUGAGGUACGAAAGCUAGGGGAGCGAAGGGGAUUAGAUACCCGAGUAGUC